RNAcentral lists this small RNA (594 nucleotides) under Pan troglodytes (chimpanzee). Its description in RNAcentral is "processed transcript". The record is from RNAcentral. Lineage: Eukaryota; Metazoa; Chordata; Mammalia; Primates; Hominidae.
UUACCUAAGGAAAUGCAACCUCACCACAAGUACAAAGACCAUCUUUCAUGGACUACUUUGAUAAGCAAGACUUCAAGAAUAAGAGUCACGAAAACUGUAAUCAGAACAUGCAUGAACCCUUCCCUAUGUCCAAAAACGUUUUUCCUGAUAACUGGAAAGUUCCUCAAGAUGGAGACUUUGACUUUAUAGAGCCUUACUGGGCCCGUGCAGAUUUUCCACUUCCUCGGCUGUGGCCCUUGGCAUCUGCGGUUAUAUUCAACAGGAGCACCAACGGUGGCCAAGAAGUCACUAGGAUGGUGGCUAAAGGGGAGGAGCUGAGCUACACCCCACUUGAUGGAACGCAAAGACUGUGGUGAGGUUGGAGAGCAGUGCUGUGCAUCCUUCCUCAGCCUUAACGAGUGCGGGGCAAGGUUAACACAGAUUUCUACACCCUUUUGCUGCAUACACAGACGAGGCCACCUGCAGAUGCCACCACUGCUCAGUGAAUCAGCAGAAGCCUUGGAAAGCCUUGUGAGUUCCACAGGACACAGAAUUGCUUGAGCUUGAGCCAAAUUGUCUCUGUUAUCCAUUGCUACAUUAAAAAAACACUUCAAA